This 358-nucleotide small RNA is filed under the name Pongo abelii (Sumatran orangutan). RNAcentral describes it as "processed transcript". The record is from RNAcentral. Lineage: Eukaryota; Metazoa; Chordata; Mammalia; Primates; Hominidae.
GCCACACGCCGUUUUAAGAGAAACCUGAGCGUUGGGGAAGCAGGUCCUGGGGACCAAGGUGGACGCGGAGCGGGAUGGUGUGAAGGUGCCCACCACGCUGGCUGAGUACUGCGUGAAGACCAAGGCGCCGGCGCCCGAUGAGGGCUCGGACCUCUUCUACGACGACUACUACGAGGACGGCGAGGUGGAGGAGGAGGCCGACAGCUGCUUCGGGGACGAUGAGGAUGACUCUGGCACGGAGGAGUCAUGACACCACCAGAAUAAACUUGCAGAGUUUACCUCACUAGGGCCGGACCCGUGGCUCCUUGACGACAGACUACCUCACGGAGGUUUUGUGCUGGUCCCCGUCUCCUCUGGU